RNAcentral lists this ribosomal RNA (253 nucleotides) under uncultured bacterium. RNAcentral describes it as "partial 16S ribosomal RNA". It matches the Rfam family "Bacterial small subunit ribosomal RNA", at positions 99 to 353 of the family's 1533-position model. The record is from RNAcentral.
CGGACGGGUGAGUAAUGUCUGGGAAACUGCCUGAUGGAGGGGGAUAACUACUGGAAACGGUAGCCAAUACCGCAUAACGUCGCAAGACCAAAGAGGGGGACCUUCGGGCCUCUUGCCAUCAGAUGUGCCCAGAUGGGAUUAGCUAGUAGGUGGGGUAACGGCUCACCUAGGCGACGAUCCCUAGCUGGUCUGAGAGGAUGACCAGCCACACUGGAACUGAGACACGGUCCAGACUCCUACGGGAGGCAGCAUG